Molecule: ribosomal RNA, 348 nt
Filed under: uncultured bacterium
Lineage: Bacteria
Description: bacterial SSU rRNA
Rfam family: Bacterial small subunit ribosomal RNA
Source: RNAcentral
AGAGUUUGAUCAUGGCUCAGAUUGAACGCUGGCGGCAUGCUUUACACAUGCAAGUCGAACGGCAGCACAGGGAGCUUGCUCCCGGGUGGCGAGUGGCGCACGGGUGGAGUAAUACAUCGGAACGUGUCCUGUUGUGGGGGAUAACUGCUCGAAAGGGUGGCUAAUACCGCAUGAGACCUGAGGGUGAAAGCGGGGGAUCGCAAGAACCUCGCGCAAUUGGAGCGGCCGAUGCCCGAUUAGCUAGUUGGUGAGGUAAAGGCUCACCAAGGCGACGAUCGGUAGCUGGUCUGAGAGGACGACCAGCCACACUGGGGACUGAGACACGGCCCAGACUCCUACGGGGAGGCA